GGAGGAGUUGCAGCCGCUUGCCUCCACGUUGCAUCACUGCCGCUCGUCUUUGUUCUGCAUCUUAAAGACGUGGAGAGAAGAGAGUCAGACGGAUCCUCAGGCUCCGAAGAGGGCCGGCGGCCUGACGGAGGCGCCCGGCCCGGGAGACGGGAGGCGCCCGGCCCGGGAGACGGGAGGCGCCACCCGACUGGCCGUUUCCCGGCCGCUUCCUGGCCGUUUCCCAGCCGUUUCCCAGCCGCUUCCUGGUCACUUCCCAGCCGUUUCCCGGCCAGUUCCUGGCCGUUUCCCAGCCGUUUCCCGGCCACUUCCUGGCCGUUUCCCAGCCGUUUCCCGGCCGCUUCCUGGUCGUUUCCCAGCCGCUUCCUGGCCAUUUCCCGGCUGUUUCCCGGCCGCUUCCCGGCCGUUUCCUGGCCGUUUCCCGGCCGCUUCCCGGUCGCUUCCCAGCCGUUUCCCAGCCGUUUCCCGGCCGCUUCCUGGUCGCUUCCCAGCCGUUUCCCGGCUGUUUCCGGGCCGUUUCCCGGCCGUUUCCCAGCCGUUUCCCAGCCGCUUCCUGGUCGUUUCCUGGUCGCUUCCCAGUCGCUUCCCAGCCGUUUCCCAGCCGUUUCCCAGCCGUUUCCCGGCCGUUUCCCGGCCGUUUCCUGGCCGUUUCCCGGCCGUUUCCUGGCCGUUUCCCGGCCGUUUCCCGGCCGUUUCCUGGCCGUUUCCCGGCCGUUUCCUGGCCGUUUCCCGGCCGUUUCCUGGUCGCUUCCCAGCCGUUUCCCAGCUGUUUCCCGGCCGUUUCCCAGCCGUUUCCCGGCCGUUUCCUGGCCGUUUCCCGGCCGUUUCCUGGCCGUUUCCUGGCCGUUUCCCGGCCGUUUCCUGGUCGCUUCCCAGCCGUUUCCCAGCUGUUUCCUGGCCGUUUCCCGGCUGUUUCCUGGCCGUUUCCCGGCCGUUUCCUGGUCGCUUCCCAGCCGUUUCCCAGCUGUUUCCUGGCCGUUUCCCGGCCGUUUCCUGGUCGCUUCCCAGCCGUUUCCCAGCUGUUUCCCAGCCGUUUCCCGGCCGCUUCCCGGUCGCUUCCCAGCCGUUUCCCAGCCGUUUCCCGGCUGCUUCCUGGUCGCUUCCCAGCCGUUUCCCAGCCGUUUCCCAGCCGUUUCCCAGCCGUUUCCCAGCCGUUUCCCUGCCGUUUCCCGGCCGUUUCCCUGCCGCCGCCCGG
RNAcentral lists this long non-coding RNA (1192 nucleotides) under Salarias fasciatus (jewelled blenny). Its description in RNAcentral is "lncRNA (ENSSFAG00005017575.1)". Lineage: Eukaryota; Metazoa; Chordata; Actinopteri; Blenniiformes; Blenniidae. The record is from RNAcentral.